This 618-nucleotide ribosomal RNA is filed under the name uncultured cyanobacterium. Its description in RNAcentral is "bacterial SSU rRNA". It matches the Rfam family "Bacterial small subunit ribosomal RNA", at positions 122 to 770 of the family's 1533-position model. Lineage: Bacteria; Bacillati; Cyanobacteriota. The record is from RNAcentral.
GAAUCUACCAAAAGGACUGGGACAACCACUGGAAACGGUGGCUAAUACCGGAUGAGCCGCAACGUAAAAGAGGAAACUCGCCUUUUGAAGAGCUCGCGUCUGAUUAGCUAGUUGGUGAGGUAAAGGCUCACCAAGGCGGCGAUCAGUAGCUGGUCUGAGAGGAUGAUCAGCCACACUGGGACUGAGACACGGCCCAGACUCCUACGGGAGGCAGCAGUGGGGAAUUUUCCGCAAUGGGCGAAAGCCUGACGGAGCAAGACCGCGUGAGGGAGGAAGGCUCUUGGGUUGUAAACCUCUUUUGUCAGGGAAGAACACAAUGACGGUACCUGAAGAAUCAGCAUCGGCUAACUCCGUGCCAGCAGCCGCGGUAAUACGGAGGAUGCAAGCGUUAUCCGGAAUUAUUGGGCGUAAAGCGUCCGCAGGUGGCACUUCAAGUCUGCUGUCAAAGACCGGGGCUUAACCCUGGAAAGGCAGUGGAAACUGAAGCGCUAGAGUGUGGCAGGGGUAGAGGGAAUUCCCGGUGUAGCGGUGAAAUGCGUAGAGAUCGGGAAGAACAUCGGUGGCGAAAGCGCUCUACUGGGCCACAACUGACACUCAGGGACGAAAGCUAGGGGAGCG